AGAGUUUGAUCAUGGCUCAGAUUGAACGCUGGCGGCAGGCCUAACACAUGCAAGUCGAGCGGUAGCACAGAGAGCUUGCUCUCGGGUGACGAGCGGCGGACGGGUGAGUAAUGUCUGGGAAACUGCCUGAUGGAGGGGGAUAACUACUGGAAACGGUAGCUAAUACCGCAUAAUGUCGCAAGACCAAAGUGGGGGACCUUCGGGCCUCAUGCCAUCAGAUGUGCCAAGAUGGGAUUAGCUAGUAGGUGGGGUAAUGGCUCACCUAGGCGACGAUCCCUAGCUGGUCUGAGAGGAUGACCAGCCACACUGGAACUGAGACACGGUCCAGACUCCUACGGGAGGCAGCAGUGGGGAAUAUUGCACAAUGGGCGCAAGCCUGAUGCAGCCAUGCCGCGUGUGUGAAGAAGGCCUUCGGGUUGUAAAGCACUUUCAGCGGGGAGGAAGGCGAUAAGGUUAAUAACCUUGUCGAUUGACGUUACCCGCAGAAGAAGCACCGGCUAACUCCGUGCCAGCAGCCGCGGUAAUACGGAGGGUGCAAGCGUUAAUCGGAAUUACUGGGCGUAAAGCGCACGCAGGCGGUCUGUCAAGUCGGAUGUGAAAUCCCCGGGCUCAACCUGGGAACUGCAUUCGAAACUGGCAGGCUAGAGUCUUGUAGAGGGGGGUAGAAUUCCAGGUGUAGCGGUGAAAUGCGUAGAGAUCUGGAGGAAUACCGGUGGCGAAGGCGGCCCCCUGGACAAAGACUGACGCUCAGGUGCGAAAGCGUGGGGAGCAAACAGGAUUAGAUACCCUGGUAGUCCACGCCGUAAACGAUGUCGAUUUGGAGGUUGUGCCCUUGAGGCGUGGCUUCCGGAGCUAACGCGUUAAAUCGACCGCCUGGGGAGUACGGCCGCAAGGUUAAAACUCAAAUGAAUUGACGGGGGCCCGCACAAGCGGUGGAGCAUGUGGUUUAAUUCGAUGCAACGCGAAGAACCUUACCUGGUCUUGACAUCCACAGAACUUAGCAGAGAUGCUUUGGUGCCUUCGGGAACUGUGAGACAGGUGCUGCAUGGCUGUCGUCAGCUCGUGUUGUGAAAUGUUGGGUUAAGUCCCGCAACGAGCGCAACCCUUAUCCUUUGUUGCCAGCGGUUCGGCCGGGAACUCAAAGGAGACUGCCAGUGAUAAACUGGAGGAAGGUGGGGAUGACGUCAAGUCAUCAUGGCCCUUACGACCAGGGCUACACACGUGCUACAAUGGCAUAUACAAAGAGAAGCGACCUCGCGAGAGCAAGCGGACCUCAUAAAGUAUGUCGUAGUCCGGAUUGGAGUCUGCAACUCGACUCCAUGAAGUCGGAAUCGCUAGUAAUCGUAGAUCAGAAUGCUACGGUGAAUACGUUCCCGGGCCUUGUACACACCGCCCGUCACACCAUGGGAGUGGGUUGCAAAAGAAGUAGGUAGCUUAACCUUCGGGAGGGCGCUUACCACUUUGUGAUUCAUGACUGGGGUGAAGUCGUAACAAGGUAACCGUAGGGGAACCUGCGGUUGGAUCACCU
This 1528-nucleotide ribosomal RNA is filed under the name Klebsiella pneumoniae. RNAcentral's name for it is "bacterial SSU rRNA". It matches the Rfam family "Bacterial small subunit ribosomal RNA". Lineage: Bacteria; Pseudomonadati; Pseudomonadota; Gammaproteobacteria; Enterobacterales; Enterobacteriaceae. The record is from RNAcentral.